UGCCCAGCAACUCCUAUCCCUACCUCCUCGUGGUACUGGCCGGGGUACGAGUAACCUUGGGGAAGAUCGGGUAACCAACCCCCUGUGGGAACUUUGGUCGUAUGCUGACAGGGAAGG
This is a non-coding RNA of Aedes aegypti (yellow fever mosquito), 117 nucleotides long. The record is from Rfam. Lineage: Eukaryota; Metazoa; Arthropoda; Insecta; Diptera; Culicidae.